Long non-coding RNA from Megalops cyprinoides (Indo-Pacific tarpon), 711 nucleotides. RefSeq lists it as uncharacterized. The transcript has 3 exons. The record is from RefSeq and is a predicted model, not a curated record. NCBI's taxonomy places the organism in Eukaryota, Metazoa, Chordata, Actinopteri, Elopiformes, Megalopidae.
UUUUUUUUUUUUACCCCAGCAACAAGAACGGUGUACAGUAUAUCUCCCUGGAUCCGUAGUUUGCUCUGGACACUGUUAAAAUCGGAACAACUUAGAAUUAGAUAAAUACAAUAUACAACAAAUAAACAAAAUGCCAUGGAAUAACUUCUGACUGCGGUAUUCUAACAACAGAAGUAUAAGGACCCGGUCUCCCCAUCUUCCCCCUGCUUAGUUGUUCAUCUUUUAAGGGUGACACUUUACAGUCCUCUGAAAUAAUUCAUAUCUUCAAAUUAGGUCUGCCUACAGGACUAUAUUUACUGACGUGACUGUGGUUACUCAUGACAAACCAGAAAAGUUUCAUGUGCUCCCAUUCUUGUGCUAACAUUCUUGUCGUCGUGCAUUAUUGUCGUGUCGACAUUUUAGGUGUCGAUUUCUGCUCAAAAUGGCUUGGAUACACGCAGCCGUUUAUCUUGUGAAAUACCAUUAGCAAUAAGCGUCGGACCUUAAGGCAAACGAAACCGGGGAGUGCAUUCUUAAUCUAAGCGGGAUGGAAUUCCUUCAUUCUUAUUUUUUUAUUGGAGUACGCCUAUCAUUUUCAGAGACGGGGGAUGUACAGUACGGAGAAAUUCCAAUCAGAAGAGAUCCUGUGGCACCGCGGACGAGACGCGUGGGAGAAGACACGAGUGCACGAAGACACAGGACCCCCACAGGUAACUCGAGGCACAGGCGCAC